RNAcentral lists this ribosomal RNA (460 nucleotides) under uncultured bacterium. RNAcentral describes it as "partial 16S ribosomal RNA". It matches the Rfam family "Bacterial small subunit ribosomal RNA", at positions 338 to 795 of the family's 1533-position model. The record is from RNAcentral.
CCUACGGGAGGCUGCAGUGAGGAAUAUUGGUCAAUGGACGCAAGUCUGAACCAGCCAUGCCGCGUGCAGGAAGAAGGCUCUAUGAGUUGUAAACUGCUUUUGUACGAGGGUAAACGCAGAUACGUGUAUCUGUCUGGAAGUAUCGUACGAAUAAGGAUCGGCUAACGCCGUGCCAGCAGCCGCGGUACUACGGAGGAGUCAAGCGUUAUCCGGAUGGAUUGGGUUGAAAGGGUGCGUAGGCGGUCGGAUAAGUUAGAGGUGAAAUCCCGAGGCUCAACUUCGGAAUUGCCUCUGAUACUGUUCGGCGAGAGAGUAGUUGCGGUAGGCGGAAUGUAUGGUGGAGCGGUGAAAUGCUUAGAGAUCAUACAGAACACCGAUUGCGAAGGCAGCUUACCAAGCUACUUCUGACGUUGAGGCACGAAAGCGUGGGGAGCAAACAGGAUUAGAUACCCCUGUAGUC